CCUACGGGGUGCAGCAGUGGGGGAUAUUGCACAAUGGGGGAAACCCUGAUGCAGCGACGCCGCGUGGGUGAAGAAGCGCCUCGGCGCGUAAAGCCCUGUCAGCAGGGAAGAAAAUGAUGGUACCUGACGAAGAAGCCCCGGCUACCUACGUGCCAGCAGCCGCGGUAAUACGUAGGGGGCCAGCGUUAUCCGGAUUUACUGGGUGUAAAGGGGGCGCAGUCGGCGAUGCAAGCCAGGGGUGAAAGCCCGGGGGCCAACCCCGGGACGGCUCUUGGAACUGCGUGGCUAGAGUGCAGGAGGGGCAGGCGGAAUGCCUGGUGUAGCGGUGAAAUGCGUAGAUAUCAGGAGGAACACCGGGGGCGAAGGCGGCCUGCUGGACUGCAACUGACGUUGAGGCCCGAAAGCGUGGGGAGCGAACAGGAUUAGAUACCCUGGUAGUC
Molecule: ribosomal RNA, 440 nt
Filed under: uncultured bacterium
Lineage: Bacteria
Description: partial 16S ribosomal RNA
Rfam family: Bacterial small subunit ribosomal RNA
Source: RNAcentral